RNAcentral lists this small nuclear RNA (111 nucleotides) under Octodon degus (degu). The record is from RNAcentral. Lineage: Eukaryota; Metazoa; Chordata; Mammalia; Rodentia; Octodontidae.
CUGAGCCAUCUCCCCGGCCCCACAUAUACUAAAAUUGGAAUGAUACAGAGAAGAUUAGCAUGGCCUCUGCUCAAGGAUGACACGCAAAUUCGUGAAGCAUUCCAUAUUUUU